AACCCAUGAAUUGGACAUUUUUAAGUAAGUCCUUAAAAUGCUCCCAUGCUUCACAAAGUAGUUUAUCAUCACCUUGCAUGAAUGUGGCAAUCUGAAUUGUAUCUUU
This 106-nucleotide small nucleolar RNA is filed under the name Phaseolus vulgaris (common bean). RNAcentral describes it as "Plant small nucleolar RNA R71". It matches the Rfam family "Plant small nucleolar RNA R71". From Rfam's summary of the family: R71 is a member of the C/D box family of snoRNAs containing the C (UGAUGA) and D (CUGA) box motifs. Multiple nearly identical copies of this snoRNA have been identified in Arabidopsis, and it is thought to function as a 2'-O-ribose methylation guide for 18S ribosomal RNA. The record is from Rfam by way of RNAcentral. Lineage: Eukaryota; Viridiplantae; Streptophyta; Magnoliopsida; Fabales; Fabaceae.